Ictidomys tridecemlineatus (thirteen-lined ground squirrel) is the source of this 309-nucleotide non-coding RNA. The record is from Rfam. NCBI's taxonomy places the organism in Eukaryota, Metazoa, Chordata, Mammalia, Rodentia, Sciuridae.
GCUAGCUCCGGCCGAGAGAAGCCGCGGCCAAAGGAGGGGGAGGAGGAAGAAGAGAAGGAAGAGGAGAGGGGGCCGCGGUGGCCACUAGGCUCUCGGAAGACGGGCUCAUGGACGGGUGAGGCGGCGGUGUGCGCAGACAGUGUUACAGCCGCGCGCGCGUCCCAGGCCCUGGCGCGGGCCUUGGCUCCAGGAGGAAAAGGAGCCCGCCAAGGCGCAGAGGAGAGCGGGCCGCCCCGCAGCCCGAGCCGGAGAGGGAGCGUGAGCAGAGCCGGCCCCGGCCGGGCCUCCGAAACCAUGAACUUUCUGCUC